Long non-coding RNA from Hyla sarda, 1107 nucleotides. RefSeq lists it as uncharacterized. The record is from RefSeq and is a predicted model, not a curated record. Lineage: Eukaryota; Metazoa; Chordata; Amphibia; Anura; Hylidae. The transcript has 5 exons.
CCCCAAUGUACCUUUACUACAAUCCUUCCUGGACCUUUCACACAGGGAAAAGUAUAGUGAAAAAACAUAAGAAGAAAAAAUUAGAUUUCUGCCCUGCCAGAAGUAGUGGACACAGCUUGCCCUUUAGCCCUCACUACGACACGGACAGGACCGGACCCCAGUCCAAGAAAGUAGCAGUAGACAAAGAAGAGUCCAGCGUGGUAGUUCAAGCAAUACUUAGAAGUUUAUUCAGCAAUCAGCCAACACGGAGAACAGGCGACGCAUUUCGGCCACGGAGCUCACCUUUCUGAUGGAAGCUCUGGUGAAACACGUCUAUCAAAUGGUGGGAUCGUGACAGCAGAAUAUAUCGACUUCAAUUCAGAAGAGGUGGCAUGUCUAACGCCAUGAAAUUGACCUGCUUAAAGGUUUUCUACAAUGUGAUCAUGACCGGUGACAUCUGUUUGCGAUGGUAAUUGCUUACCACAUAGCAGGGAAGGAAAGCCACCAGCCAGAACGGCAACGACAGCAAAGCAAUCAAGAUGUUGGACAUGCAUGGAGGACAGCUCUUAUUUACAGCCAUGUCUAACAGCCAGAAAAGCCAAUGUGGACUGAAGCUGGUCUCUACCUCAUGUAGCAAAUCCAUUCCAUCUCCCCACCAAAAUCUGGACGAUGUUACCCUAUAGUUAGUACAGCAAAUGACAAUUUCAUGGAAGCUUAUAGGAUGGAGAAUGGAAAAAUAACAUUGAAAGAUUGAUACAACUGAGGAAAAAAAUUAGGAAAUUUAUUCUACGAUGCGGCAGUUCUGCGCAUUGAGUUUAUGGAGUCAAAGUUGGGCAUCUGGGUUAAGAAGCUUUAAAGUCAUCCAGUGAUUUCACUAACAUUUUACCAGUUUAGAAACUUUUUAUAUUACUUGUUUUUCUUAUGUUAUGCUAAUUUUGUGGGUUUUACUAUGUCUUUUUCUCCACUCAUACAGUAUAUAUACAUGGCUCCUCUCAAAGUUCUGCUAAUUUUCCUUGGAAACGGACAACAGUUUAGUUCCACAUAUUACCAGACUUAACUAGGUGACUGUACUCUAAAUUUACACAAUGCAUUGCUUUAUGGUCAUUUCAAAUAUUCUUCACAAUAAAU